Molecule: ribosomal RNA, 253 nt
Filed under: uncultured bacterium
Lineage: Bacteria
Description: partial 16S ribosomal RNA
Rfam family: Bacterial small subunit ribosomal RNA
Source: RNAcentral
UACAGGGGGGGCAAGCGUUGUUCGGAAUUACUGGGCGUAAAGGGUCUGUAGGUGGCCAACUAAGUCAGACGUGAAAUCCCUCAGCUUAACUGGGGAACUGCGUCUGAUACUGGAUGGCUUGAGUGUGGGAGAGGAAUGCGGAAUUCCAGGUGUAGCGGUGAAAUGCGUAGAUAUCUGGAGGAACACCGGUGGCGAAGGCGGCAUUCUGGACCAUAACUGACACUGAGAGACGAAAGACAGGGGAGCAAACGGG